This is a long non-coding RNA of Varroa destructor (honeybee mite), 318 nucleotides long. RefSeq lists it as uncharacterized. The record is from RefSeq and is a predicted model, not a curated record. Lineage: Eukaryota; Metazoa; Arthropoda; Arachnida; Mesostigmata; Varroidae.
UUUCUCUUCUACACAAGUUCCUCCACAUAUCGCUUUGGCUCAUCGACUUCUUAUCGUCUUCACUGCUAAAAAAUAAACAGAUCGUCUGAGUGUACCUGGCAGCUGCACGUCACUCCCCACUCAUGCAGAACUGCUUGCUUCGCUCCUUCGAUGCCAGCCUCAAACGCUGUUCUAUCAUAGAACUGAAGCCGGCUCAGCCUCUCUCUAAGUGCAUCGAAAUCACGCGUGAAAGAAGGUGAUUGAGUCCAUCCGCAGCUAGAUGUCGAAGCUGCAUGGGCUCAGGACGAUCGGCGAGCUCCACUGGACGACACAUCGAGA